CUGAGUAAAUAAGGUUUACAAACCCUUCUGGGGUGAGUACUCCUUUCUUCUCUUCACCCUUUGUUAUAAUUACUUAGUUGCUUUGGUAGAGUGCUUCGGCGUCUACCAAGGGACCAUUUUAAACACUUUGUUAUCCAAUAAUUGGUUGUCUUCAGUCUGAUUUUUAUAACUUUAAUAAGUAAAUA
Molecule: unclassified non-coding RNA, 185 nt
Filed under: uncultured Ascomycota
Lineage: Eukaryota; Fungi; Ascomycota
Description: sequence contains ITS1
Source: RNAcentral